GACGAACGCUGGCGGCGUGCCUAAUACAUGCAAGUAGAACGCUGAAGGAGGAGCUUGCUUCUCCGGAUGAGUUGCGAACGGGUGAGUAACGCGUAGGUAACCUGCCUGGUAGCGGGGGAUAACUAUUGGAAACGAUAGCUAAUACCGCAUAACAGUAGAUGUUGCAUGACAUUUGCUUAAAAGGUGCAAUUGCAUCACUACCAGAUGGACCUGCGUUGUAUUAGCUAGUUGGUGAGGUAACGGCUCGCCAAGGCGACGAUACAUAGCCGACCUGAGAGGGUGAUCGGCCACACUGGGACUGAGACACGGCCCAGACUCCUACGGGAGGCAGCAGUAGGGAAUCUUCGGCAAUGGACGGAAGUCUGACCGAGCAACGCCGCGUGAGUGAAGAAGGUUUUCGGAUCGUAAAGCUCUGUUGUAAGAGAAGAACGAGUGUGAGAGUGGAAAGUUCACACUGUGACGGUAUCUUACCAGAAAGGGACGGCUAACUACGUG
Molecule: ribosomal RNA, 495 nt
Filed under: uncultured bacterium
Lineage: Bacteria
Description: partial 16S ribosomal RNA
Rfam family: Bacterial small subunit ribosomal RNA
Source: RNAcentral